This 889-nucleotide long non-coding RNA is filed under the name Gossypium raimondii (Peruvian cotton). Its description in RNAcentral is "long non-coding RNA (GRAI_LNC007876)". The record is from RNAcentral. Lineage: Eukaryota; Viridiplantae; Streptophyta; Magnoliopsida; Malvales; Malvaceae.
UCUGCAUUUAAUUUUUCGCCUCUUUAAACUUUUAAUUUGUGUUAUUUAUCAAAUCUUCCAAACAAAUUAACGCCGUAAUAACCCAUUUUUCCCGGCCCAUAAUUAACCAAAUUAAAAAAAACGAAAUAUAAAAUUUUAAUAACAGUCCACUACAAACACAAUAAGUAGCAGGCCCAAAACCCAAAUGCACUACCUAAUUACAAACCCAACUAAACCCUAACCCAAUACAAACCCCAAAAGCCCAGCUUGCAGCCCACAACACUAAAAACAAUAGAAACCCUAGCAACAGUUUCAGCCGCCGCAACAGUGGCCCCAGCGCUGCAGACUGUCCUCCGCGCGUGUCAAGCCUCCGCGCGCGUGCGCCUCCAAGCUAGCAUGUACCUGCAACGAACAAUAAACAGCAAGCAGCAAGAGAGGCAAAAUAACAGAUUGAUAGCUAAAAAAUAAAGAGUUUUUUUGUAUUUUUUCUUUUUUUCAUUUUUCGGUUAUAUAAAGCCACUUGUGAUACUGUAAAAGGGAUUACGCAUUCGAAAGAAAAAAAAAAGAAUCAAAUAGCAGCAUAAUUUUAAGGUGGUUUCCGAUUUCUACUUCUUUUUUUUUCUUUUUCCUUUGAUUUGUUUUUAUUUGUUGAUUAAAAGAUAAAAAAAAGGGAAGUUCUUACCUACAUAUUGCGCCGCCAGGAGCCUUCGUCCCUUCUGUUUCAAAUCGAAAUGGGGUGGGCAAUGGUCGAAUCAAAAGCGGCGCACAUAGGAUAGAUUUUAGGGUUGGUUAGAUUUUUUUUUUUUAGAAAUGGAGUGUCUGCUAAUGUUAACUUAUAUAUAGCGUAUGAAACGACGACAUUUGAUGCCAUUUUAGUGGUUUCAAAAUGGCGUCGUAUAGGGCCGAGAUC